This 73-nucleotide transfer RNA is filed under the name Thermoplasmata archaeon. Its description in RNAcentral is "tRNA-Gln". It matches the Rfam family "tRNA". From Rfam's summary of the family: Transfer RNA (tRNA) molecules are approximately 80 nucleotides in length. Their secondary structure includes four short double-helical elements and three loops (D, anti-codon, and T loops). Lineage: Archaea; Methanobacteriati; Thermoplasmatota; Thermoplasmata. RNAcentral also lists the same sequence under 2 other names. The record is from RNAcentral.
AGCCUCGUAGUGUAGUGGUCAAUCAUUGGGGACUCUGGAUCCCCGGACCCAAGUUCGAAUCUUGGCGAGGCUA